RNAcentral lists this ribosomal RNA (400 nucleotides) under uncultured bacterium. Its description in RNAcentral is "bacterial SSU rRNA". It matches the Rfam family "Bacterial small subunit ribosomal RNA", at positions 355 to 768 of the family's 1533-position model. The record is from RNAcentral.
UCGAGAAUCUUCGGCAAUGCACGAAAGUGUGACCGAGCGACGCCGCGUGAUUGAUGAAGCCCCUCGGGGUGUAAAGAUCUUUUAUGCAUGAAGAAAUUAUUGACAUUAGUGCAUGAAUAAGGGGCUCCUAACUCUGUGCCAGCAGGAGCGGUAAUACAGAGGCCCCGAGCGUUAUCCGGAAUUAUUGGGCGUAAAGGGUGCGUAGGUGGUUUUAUUAGUCGACUGUGAAAGAUCUGGGCUCAACCCAGGGAACGCAAUCGAAACGGUAAGACUUGAGUAUGUGAGAGGUGAACGGAACUCAUGGAGUAGGGGUGAAAUCCGUUGAUAUCAUGGGGAACACCAAAUGCGAAGGCAGUUCACUGGCACAUUACUGACACUGAGUGCACGAAAGCGUGGGUAG